Molecule: ribosomal RNA, 207 nt
Filed under: uncultured bacterium
Lineage: Bacteria
Description: partial 16S ribosomal RNA
Rfam family: Bacterial small subunit ribosomal RNA
Source: RNAcentral
CACGUAGGCGGCUGGUUCAGUCAGAUGUGAAAGCCCUCGGCUUAACCGAGGAAUUGCGUUUGAUACUGGCCGGCUUGAGUGGAGAAGGGGAGAGCGGAACUUCUGGUGUAGCGGUGAUAUGCGUAGAUAUCAGAAGGAACGCCGGUGGCGAAAGCGGCUCUCUGGUCUCUUACUGACGCUGAGGUGCGAAAGCCAGGGGAGCGAACG